Molecule: ribosomal RNA, 58 nt
Filed under: Kabatina thujae
Lineage: Eukaryota; Fungi; Ascomycota; Dothideomycetes; Dothideales; Dothioraceae
Description: partial 18S ribosomal RNA
Source: RNAcentral
CUUGGUCAUUUAGAGGAAGUAAAGUCGUACCAAGGUUUUUUUCAACCUAGGUGAACCU